RNAcentral lists this ribosomal RNA (200 nucleotides) under uncultured beta proteobacterium. Its description in RNAcentral is "partial 16S ribosomal RNA". It matches the Rfam family "Bacterial small subunit ribosomal RNA", at positions 334 to 526 of the family's 1533-position model. The record is from RNAcentral. Lineage: Bacteria; Pseudomonadati; Pseudomonadota; Betaproteobacteria. RNAcentral also lists the same sequence under 1 other name.
AUCUCCUACGGGAGGCAGCAGUGGGGAAUUUUGGACAAUGGGCGCAAGCCUGAUCCAGCCAUGCCGCGUGAGUGAAGAAGGCCUUCGGGUUGUAAAGCUCUUUCAGGUGGAAAGAAAUCGCACUUUUUAAUACAGGGUGUGGAUGACGGUACCAUCAGAAGAAGCACCGGCUAACUACGUGCCAGCAGCCGCGGUAAUAA